Molecule: ribosomal RNA, 970 nt
Filed under: Pyrrhura rupicola (black-capped parakeet)
Lineage: Eukaryota; Metazoa; Chordata; Aves; Psittaciformes; Psittacidae
Description: 12S ribosomal RNA
Source: RNAcentral
GUUUGCUAAGUGCACCUUCCGGUACACUUACCUUGUUACGACUUACCUCAUCUUAAGCGGUUGGUUUUAUUAGUUAGUGUAUUUGUGGGCCUUGUGAGGAGGGUGACGGGCGGUGUGUACGUGCUCUAGGACCGGUUUAAAGGAGGCUUGGUUAUCCUGCUUUACUGCUAAAUCCACCUUCUGGGGGCGGGUUUCAGGCCCCCUUCCGUUGGGCUGUUCUAUUUUAGAAAAUGUAGCCCAUUUCUUCCACUUCAUAGGCUAUACCUUGACCUGUCUUAUUAGCGAGUUGUGGGCUGUUGGGCUCACUGUUGCGCUCUCAUGAGGUGGGCUGGCGACGGCGGUAUGUAGGCUGUAUUGGCGAGAAGUGGUCGGGUGAAUCGUGGGUUAUCGAUUAUAGAACAGGCUCCUCUAGGUGGGUUUAGAGCACCGCCAAGUCCUUAGAGUUUUAAGCGUUUGUGCUCGUAGUUCUCGGGCGGAUGUUCGUGGUUGGGGGGCAUCAAGAUUUAGGGCCAGGCAUAGUGGGGUAUCUAAUCCCAGUUUGUGUCCUGGCUUUAGUGGGGUGGAAUGGGUCGCGGAUGUUAAGAUCAUCUUCAGGUUGGGCUUAGGGGUGCCUUAAGCUUAUGACAGCUUGGGCAUGGUUUGAUCUUAGUUCGGUGCGAUAGUUUGAACCCACUCUUUACGCCGUGUAUGGUUAACUUGGGUUUCUUGUAUGACCGCGGUGGCUGGCACAAGAUUUACCAACCCUGGUUGCUCUAACUAAGUCAGGCUUUCGCCUAUUGCUUAAUGUUAAUUACUGCUGAGUACCCGUGGGGGUGUGGCAUGGCGUGGCGUUUUAGGCUACGGCGGGUGGGCGUGCCUGAUGCCUGCUCCUCGUGUCUUAGUAAGGGGUUUGGGGCAUUUACACUGGGGUGCGGAUGCUUGCAUGUAUAUGUUGAGCAAAAGUUAACGAUAAGGUUAGGACUAAGUCUUU